This 448-nucleotide ribosomal RNA is filed under the name uncultured bacterium. RNAcentral describes it as "partial 16S ribosomal RNA". It matches the Rfam family "Bacterial small subunit ribosomal RNA", at positions 330 to 795 of the family's 1533-position model. The record is from RNAcentral.
ACCAGACUCCUACGGGAGGCAGCAGUGGGGGAUAUUGCACAAUGGGGGGAACCCUGAUGCAGCGACGCCGCGUGGGUGAAGAAGCGCCUCGGCGCGUAAAGCCCUGUCAGCAGGGAAGAAAAUGACGGUACCUGAAGAAGAAGCCCCGGCUAACUACGUGCCAGCAGCCGCGGUAAUACGUAGGGGGCAAGCGUUAUCCGGAUUUACUGGGUGUAAAGGGGGCGCAGACGGCGAUGCAAGCCAGGAGUGAAAGCCCGGGGCCCAACCCCGGGACUGCUCUUGGAACUGCGUGGCUGGAGUGCAGGAGGGGCAGGCGGAAUUCCUGGUGUAGCGGUGAAAUGCGUAGAUAUCAGGAGGAACACCGGUGGCGAAGGCGGCCUGCUGGACUGCAACUGACGUUGAGGCCCGAAAGCGUGGGGAGCAAACAGGAUUAGAUACCCUUGUAGCC